RNAcentral lists this ribosomal RNA (724 nucleotides) under Parastrigea brasiliana. Its description in RNAcentral is "partial large subunit ribosomal RNA". It matches the Rfam family "Eukaryotic large subunit ribosomal RNA", at positions 188 to 620 of the family's 3401-position model. Lineage: Eukaryota; Metazoa; Platyhelminthes; Trematoda; Diplostomida; Strigeidae. The record is from RNAcentral.
AACUGGAAUGGCCCAAGGAGGGUGAAAGGCCCGUGGGGGUGGAGAUCAAGUCGGACGGUAUUGCCCUUAGUCGACCUUGGAGUCGGGUUGUUUGUGAAUGCAGCCCAAAGCGGGUGGUAAACUCCAUCCAAGGCUAAAUACUAGCACGAGUCCGAUAGCGAACAAGUACCGUGAGGGAAAGUUGAAAAGUACUUUGAAGAGAGAGUAAACAGUGCGUGAAACCGCUCAGAGGUAAACGGGUGGAGUUGAACUGUAAGCUCCGGGAAUUCAGCUGGUGAGUGUGUCAUGGGCUUGGUCAUUUUCGGCCGGCCUCUGGAGUCCGCUUAGCUGCGGGUCCUUGCUUCUUCGGGAGUAGGGAUGUGCGUUGCGCUUGUCAAGUGCUGUGCGCUCUGGAGGUUGCCGGGCUGGCUCGCCGGUGCACUUUCUCGGAGUGGUCACCACGACCGGCGUUGUUGUCUUGCUGCUGUGGUCGAACCGGCUGGGUUUGGUCCUUGUGGCUGAACUUGGUCGGGAUGGCAGGUAGCUCAUUGGUUGGCUUGUCCAGUCUUUGGGUGUAAUCAGCUGUCUGCAGUGGUAUUGUGCAAUGCGUCGGAGACUGCGGCUUUAGGUAUUUGCUUUCGUGCCGUUCGCUGGCAGUGUUGGGUUUGACUGGCGUGUUACCUGCUUCGGUGGGUCCGUCGGUAGCUCAGUGCUGUUCGGUUAGCGGUGGCUUAAGUGAUAUCGU